AUCUCCAAUAGAUGAGAAAUCCUGGAAUGGUUUUUCGUUCAAAAGGUGUUGCGAUCAUGCUUUGCGACACUGCUCGAGGAUGGGGCCGCGUCCGAUCAGGUAGUUGGUGAGGUAACGGCUCACCAAGCCUAUAACCGGUCCGGGCCGUGGGAGCGGGAGCCCGGAGAUGGGCACUGAGACAAGGGCCCAGGCCCUACGGGGCGCAGCAGUUGCGAAAACUCCGCAAUACACGGAAGUGUGACGGGGCUACCCCGAGUGCUGUCCGCUGAGGAUGGCUUUUCUUUGCUGUAGGAAUGCAGAGGAAUAAGGAGAGGGCAAGUCUGGUGUCAGCCGCCGCGGUAAUACCAGCUCUCCAAGUGGUAGGGAUGAUUAUUGGGCUUAAAGCGUCCGUAGCCGGCUCGACAAGUCUCUCGUUAAAUCCAACGAUCUAAUCGUUGGCCUGCGGGAGAUACUGCUGGGCUAGGAGGCGGGAGAAGCCGACGGUAUUCCCGGGGUAGGGGUAAAAUCCUAUAAUGCCGGGAGGACCACCAGUGGCGUAGGCGGUCGGCUAGCACGCGCUCGACGGUGAGGGACGAAAGCUUGGGGAGCGAACCGGAUUAGAUACCCGGGUAGU
This 613-nucleotide ribosomal RNA is filed under the name uncultured archaeon. RNAcentral's name for it is "bacterial SSU rRNA". It matches the Rfam family "Archaeal small subunit ribosomal RNA", at positions 149 to 745 of the family's 1478-position model. The record is from RNAcentral.